AUUGAACGCUGGCGGCAGGCCUAACACAUGCAAGUCGAGCGGUAGAGAGAAGCUUGCUUCUCUUGAGAGCGGCGGACGGGUGAGUAAUGCCUAGGAAUCUGCCUGGUAGUGGGGGAUAACGUUCGGAAACGGACGCUAAUACCGCAUACGUCCUACGGGAGAAAGCAGGGGACCUUCGGGCCUUGCGCUAUCAGAUGAGCCUAGGUCGGAUUAGCUAGUUGGUGAGGUAAUGGCUCACCAAGGCGACGAUCCGUAACUGGUCUGAGAGGAUGAUCAGUCACACUGGAACUGAGACACGGUCCAGACUCCUACGGGAGGCAGCAGUGGGGAAUAUUGGACAAUGGGCGAAAGCCUGAUCCAGCCAUGCCGCGUGUGUGAAGAAGGUCUUCGGAUUGUAAAGCACUUUAAGUUGGGAGGAAGGGUUGUAGAUUAAUACUCUGCAAUUUUGACGUUACCGACAGAAUAAGCACCGGCUAACUCUGUGCCAGCAGCCGCGGUAAUACAGAGGGUGCAAGCGUUAAUCGGAAUUACUGGGCGUAAAGCGCGCGUAGGUGGUUUGUUAAGUUGGAUGUGAAAUCCCCGGGCUCAACCUGGGAACUGCAUUCAAAACUGACUGACUAGAGUAUGGUAGAGGGUGGUGGAAUUUCCUGU
This 651-nucleotide ribosomal RNA is filed under the name uncultured bacterium. RNAcentral's name for it is "bacterial SSU rRNA". It matches the Rfam family "Bacterial small subunit ribosomal RNA", at positions 28 to 674 of the family's 1533-position model. RNAcentral also lists the same sequence under 1 other name. The record is from RNAcentral.